AUUGAACGCUGGCGGCAUGCUUUACACAUGCAAGUCGAACGGGCUGGGGGGCAACUCCAGUCAGUGGCGAACGGGUGAGUAAUACAUCGGAACGUACCUCGUAGUGGGGGAUAACUCGGCGAAAGCCGUGCUAAUACCGCAUAUGCUCUACGGAGGAAAGCAGGGGACCGCAAGGCCUUGUGCUAUGGGAGCGGCCGAUGUCCGAUUAGCUAGUUGGUGAGGUAAUGGCUCACCAAGGCGACGAUCGGUAGCUGGUCUGAGAGGAUGAUCAGCCACACUGGGACUGAGACACGGCCCAGACUCCUACGGGAGGCAGCAGUGGGGAAUUUUGGACAAUGGGGGCAACCCUGAUCCAGCCAUGCCGCGUGCGGGAAGAAGGCCUGGUGUAACGU
This 392-nucleotide ribosomal RNA is filed under the name uncultured bacterium. RNAcentral's name for it is "bacterial SSU rRNA". It matches the Rfam family "Bacterial small subunit ribosomal RNA", at positions 30 to 426 of the family's 1533-position model. The record is from RNAcentral.